RNAcentral lists this transfer RNA (75 nucleotides) under Microgenomates group bacterium ADurb.Bin238. RNAcentral describes it as "tRNA-Arg". It matches the Rfam family "tRNA". Rfam says of the family: Transfer RNA (tRNA) molecules are approximately 80 nucleotides in length. Their secondary structure includes four short double-helical elements and three loops (D, anti-codon, and T loops). The record is from RNAcentral.
GCGCCCAUAGCUCAGCCGGAUAGAGCAACUGCCUUCUAAGCAGUAGGUCGCAGGUUCGAAUCCUGCUGGGCGCGC